This 301-nucleotide ribosomal RNA is filed under the name uncultured bacterium. RNAcentral's name for it is "partial 16S ribosomal RNA". It matches the Rfam family "Bacterial small subunit ribosomal RNA", at positions 509 to 807 of the family's 1533-position model. The record is from RNAcentral.
CAGCCGCCGCGGGAAUACAGAGGGUGCAAGCGUUAAUCGGAAUUACUGGGCGUAAAGCGCGCGUAGGUGGUUUGUUAAGUUGGAUGUGAAAUCCCCGGGCUCAACCUGGGAACUGCAUCCAAAACUGGCAAGCUAGAGUAUGGUAGAGGGUGGUGGAAUUUCCUGUGUAGCGGUGAAAUGCGUAGAUAUAGGAAGGAACACCAGUGGCGAAGGCGACCACCUGGACUGAUACUGACACUGAGGUGCGAAAGCGUGGGGAGCAAACAGGAUUAGAGACCCCUGUAGUCCCUGUCUCUUAUAC